UACGGAGGGAGCUAGCGUUGUUCGGAAUUACUGGGCGUAAAGCGCGCGUAGGCGGCGAUUCAAGUCAGAGGUGAAAGCCCGGGGCUCAACCCCGGAACUGCCUUUGAAACUAGAUUGCUAGAAUCUUGGAGAGGUCAGUGGAAUUCCGAGUGUAGAGGUGAAAUUCGUAGAUAUUCGGAAGAACACCAGUGGCGAAGGCGACUGACUGGACAAGUAUUGACGCUGAGGUGCGAAAGCGUGGGGAGCAAACAGG
RNAcentral lists this ribosomal RNA (253 nucleotides) under uncultured bacterium. Its description in RNAcentral is "partial 16S ribosomal RNA". It matches the Rfam family "Bacterial small subunit ribosomal RNA", at positions 524 to 776 of the family's 1533-position model. The record is from RNAcentral.